UACGAAGGGGGCUAGCGUUGUUCGGAAUCACUGGGCGUAAAGCGCACGUAGGCGGAUGUGCCAGUCAGGGGUGAAAUCCCGGAGCUCAACUCCGGAACUGCCUUUGAUACAGCACGUCUUGAGUCCGAUAGAGGUGGGUGGAAUUCCUAGUGUAGAGGUGAAAUUCGUAGAUAUUAGGAAGAACACCGGUGGCGAAGGCGGCCCACUGGAUCGGUACUGACGCUGAGGUGCGAAAGCGUGGGGAGCAAACAGG
This 253-nucleotide ribosomal RNA is filed under the name uncultured bacterium. RNAcentral's name for it is "partial 16S ribosomal RNA". It matches the Rfam family "Bacterial small subunit ribosomal RNA", at positions 524 to 776 of the family's 1533-position model. The record is from RNAcentral.